This 213-nucleotide long non-coding RNA is filed under the name Capsicum annuum. RNAcentral's name for it is "long non-coding RNA (CANN_LNC010868)". The record is from RNAcentral. Lineage: Eukaryota; Viridiplantae; Streptophyta; Magnoliopsida; Solanales; Solanaceae.
UGAUGAUGCCCAGUUCGUGUCCGUAGGAAUAUGUGAUAUUAUGAUGAUACUCGGUUCGAGUCCGGAGGAAUAUGUGAUAUUAUGAUGAUGCCCAAUGAAUCCAGAAGAAUACGUGAUAUUAUGAUGAUGUCUGGUUCGAGUUCGAAGGAAUGUGUGAUAUUAUGACAUGCCCGGUCAAUUCGGAGGAAUAUGUUGAUAUUGUGAUAAAGCCCG